AAACUUUCAACAACGGAUCUCUUGGCUCUGGCAUCGAUGAAGAACGCAGCGAAAUGCGAUACGUAGUGUGAAUUGCAGAAUCUAGUGAACCAUCGAAUCUUUGAACGCACAUUGCGCCCGCCGGCAUCCCGGCGGGCAUGCCUGUCCGAGCGUCAUCU
This 158-nucleotide ribosomal RNA is filed under the name Zanclospora jonesii. Its description in RNAcentral is "Chaetosphaeria jonesii 5.8S ribosomal RNA". It matches the Rfam family "5.8S ribosomal RNA". From Rfam's summary of the family: 5.8S ribosomal RNA (5.8S rRNA) is a component of the large subunit of the eukaryotic ribosome. It is transcribed by RNA polymerase I as part of the 45S precursor that also contains 18S and 28S rRNA. Lineage: Eukaryota; Fungi; Ascomycota; Sordariomycetes; Chaetosphaeriales; Chaetosphaeriaceae. The record is from RNAcentral.